RNAcentral lists this ribosomal RNA (253 nucleotides) under uncultured bacterium. RNAcentral's name for it is "partial 16S ribosomal RNA". It matches the Rfam family "Bacterial small subunit ribosomal RNA", at positions 524 to 776 of the family's 1533-position model. The record is from RNAcentral.
UACGUAGGGUGCGAGCGUUGUCCGGAAUUAUUGGGCGUAAAGAGCUCGUAGGCGGUUUGUCGCGUCGGCCGUGAAAUCUCCACGCUUAACGUGGAGCGUGCGGUCGAUACGGGCAGACUUGAGUUCGGUAGGGGAGGCUGGAAUUCCUGGUGUAGCGGUGAAAUGCGCAGAUAUCAGGAGGAACACCGGUGGCGAAGGCGGUUCUCUGGGCAUGUCCUGACGCUGAGGAGCGAAAGCGUGGGGAGCAAACAGG